Molecule: transfer RNA, 72 nt
Filed under: Heterospilus sp.
Lineage: Eukaryota; Metazoa; Arthropoda; Insecta; Hymenoptera; Braconidae
Description: tRNA-Asp
Source: RNAcentral
UAAAAAUUAGUUAAAUAAAUAAAUAUUAAAUUGUCAAUUUAAAGUUAAUAUAUUUAUAAAUAAUAUUUUUAA